Molecule: transfer RNA, 72 nt
Filed under: Bos taurus (domestic cattle)
Lineage: Eukaryota; Metazoa; Chordata; Mammalia; Artiodactyla; Bovidae
Also listed under: 3 other names
Rfam family: tRNA
About the family: Transfer RNA (tRNA) molecules are approximately 80 nucleotides in length. Their secondary structure includes four short double-helical elements and three loops (D, anti-codon, and T loops).
Source: Rfam by way of RNAcentral
UCCCUGAUAGCUCAGUUGGUAAAGAAUCCACCUGCAAUGCGGGAGACCUUGGUUCUAUCCCUGGUUUGGGAA